GAAACAACGAAAACCUAGAAGGAGCCACGAAGCCUCUGCAAAAGAAAUAUUUACCAUCAUAUGCAGAAAGCAUUACAAGGAAAUUAAAGAGGGAAUGAAGUCUUCUGGCAUAAAGUUUUACAAGGGAACAAGAAGAGGAAUUUCAUCUUGAUUCAGUGUAGGUAUACGCAGAAACAAAAUUCACACAGUGAAUAAAAGAAAGAGGUAGCCUAACUAAGCUUAUUACGAAUGGAACCACGAGGAAUUUGGUACUUCGCGAAGUUGACACUUAGACUCGUGUUUGUGAUAAUAUAGAUUGAUCGAGGAAGUCGUAUGGACUGCACGAGUUGGCACGCUUGGUAUUUCGAAAGAAAGCAGUUGACGCGAGCGAGGAUUUCGUUAAUUAGAGUACACGAGUUGAUAGUUCCUGGUGAGCCCCGCACUGGUUCGCGUGGGCGAAGAGUUUAUUUAUUGUUAUUGUCUUUUCUUUUGAACUCUUAGAGUCGCUCUAUAGUUGUUUUUAUUAGUGUCACGAGUAUUCAUUUGUUAAAUUGGACUAGUUACUAGUAUUGCACUUUCUUUCUGUAUUUUUUUAGAUGGGCUUAGUAUUAUCUUAUUUAUAAGGUUGGUAGUGUUGGUGAAAACUCGUUCGUUAGUUCAUAAAGAUUGUUGUUGAUUUAGGUGAAUAUUGGUUGGUUGUUAAUUGUUUAUGAGACAGGAAA
Molecule: long non-coding RNA, 701 nt
Organism: Nicotiana tabacum (common tobacco)
Lineage: Eukaryota; Viridiplantae; Streptophyta; Magnoliopsida; Solanales; Solanaceae
Source: RefSeq, a predicted model, not a curated record